This 253-nucleotide ribosomal RNA is filed under the name uncultured bacterium. RNAcentral's name for it is "partial 16S ribosomal RNA". It matches the Rfam family "Bacterial small subunit ribosomal RNA", at positions 524 to 776 of the family's 1533-position model. The record is from RNAcentral.
UACGAAGGGGGCUAGCGUUGCUCGGAAUCACUGGGCGUAAAGGGUGUGUAGGCGGGCUGGUAAGUCAGGGGUGAAAUCCCGGAGCUCAACUCCGGAACUGCCUUUGAUACUACUGGUCUUGAAUAUUGUUGAGGUAGGCGGAAUGUGUCAUGUAGCGGUGAAAUGCAUAGAUAUGACACAGAACACCGAUUGCGAAGGCAGCUUACUGGGCAAUGAUUGACGCUGAGGCACGAAAGCGUGGGGAUCAAACAGG